Molecule: long non-coding RNA, 349 nt
Filed under: Panax ginseng (ginseng)
Lineage: Eukaryota; Viridiplantae; Streptophyta; Magnoliopsida; Apiales; Araliaceae
Description: long non-coding RNA (PGIN_LNC013929)
Source: RNAcentral
UUCAUUCUAUUCCUCCAUAUUUGAUGAAAUCAAAUGGAGUUGAUCAUGCUGCCCAUCUACUCUUCUUAUAUUGGGCCUCUAUAUCAGAUGUGUGCAAACGAGAUUUGGGCUUAGGCUCCAACUGUUAUUCUCGGAUUUGGUUCAUAAAAUUUAUCGAAUAUAAAAUAAGGUUUGAUUGAGGCUCAUUUAGCUACCGAGUCGAGCACGAUUCCGAAUCGAGCCCGAGCAGUUUGAACUUUUAUUAAUAGAAAAUUAAAAUUUGACGAGGUUCGAGUAAUUUAUCGAACUUUAAAAUUUGUUCAUAUUUGACUUAUUUAUAUUUCGAGUCGAGCUUGAAUCGAACUUUUAC